RNAcentral lists this small RNA (3510 nucleotides) under Oryza sativa Japonica Group (Japanese rice). Its description in RNAcentral is "sRNA Os07g0232600". Lineage: Eukaryota; Viridiplantae; Streptophyta; Magnoliopsida; Poales; Poaceae. The record is from RNAcentral.
UUGGCUGCACCAAUCCCAUUCAACUAUUAGACUUAUUUUACUUUCUGUUUUUUUUUAAAAAAAUAAGGUGGUCAUAUACUCAUGUUUGUAACUUCCGUACAUCAAGAUUUAAAUAAAGAGAUAAAUUAAAUGAUUGACCGAAACCUAAGUAUUCAUCUUAAUAUUUAUUGAUUGUAUUUCACGUAGGAUUAGUUAAAUUCUUUUUAGUCUUGAUGACAAAAGUAAUAUAUCUAACACUUUUGAAAGAAGGGAGUAUCAAAUUUAGCUUUAAUUUAUUUAUCUGAUUGCUCCCACUUUCAUGCAGGGCCUCAUGACCAGAGAUGCCAGAAAUCAAAGAACCGGCUCCAUCAGAUUCUGAUCUCGACUUUCAGAAAUGAACACCGUCCAUCCAAUCUGCCUUUUGUUUGGGAGCUCCACUUCACUUGGCAGGAACAAAUAAAGAGAUGGCUCACGUUUAUUGGAUGGGGCCAUACGCACGCUAUUAUCCUAGAUGGAGGAUUUUACAUGCUUACAAGGGGCACUUUACAAAAGCAUGCAACAUAACCCUUUCAAGAUAAAAAGCAUCCAACAUGCUCAUCGAUUAUUUACUGAUCAACUUGCUCGAUUUGUGGUUAAUGUUCCUAAGUAGUACAAAAUGGAACUCUACCUCUACAGGCAUCUCCAUUAAUUGAUGCUUAGGCUAAGGCUCGCAAGGGAUUUCUAAUUUUAUUUUUCAACUAAACAAGCAGUAGUAAUGCUAUUUGGGGACUAUCUCAAAAAACUGUUGCAAGUUUUUUUUGAGGGAAAACUUUUAAAUCAAACUAUAGUACUCCCUCUAUCUAAGGGAUUUUGGUUACAAGUCACAUCCAACCAAAAUCACUUAUAUUUAGGGACGGAGAGAGUAUAAUUAUAAUAUAAUUCCCCUAUAAUUAUAAUAUAACUUGUAUAUAAGUAUUAAAAUAAUAUUUACAACUUAUAUCUAACUUAUAUAGAGAUUACAAUGCACUUACAAUAUAAUAUAACUGUAGUGUAAUUACAUUUUAGUUACACUAUAAUUAUAUCAUAGUUACAUUUGAAAUUUUUUUCCAAAAAAAAACUUGCAACAAUUUUUAGCAAUUCCAUAUCUAAAAACUAGUCAUAGGCCUAUGCAUUACAAUGGGACAAGAUCUCAUAAACGUGAUUUAUUUUUUCUCUCUUAUCGCAUAUUUUUCUCUCGAUUGGUUAGUUUUUUUUUAUACAGGUUUUUUGAGUGGAUUUUUUAUACGUAGGAUUGGGGAGAGGAGGAAAGGAGCAUGACCGUGCUUUUAAGAUACUGGUAGAGACGCCGAAACUUGCCUUGUCUGACAACUUCAUUUCUUCAACAGUGUUCACUUCGCUUUGCAAAAAAAAAAAAAAAAAAAAAAAAAAAACACCAAUACUUUACCAAAUAAAUACAAUAGAUACAACUCUACCGUGAAAAAAAAUACAUUGGUAGUAAAAAAAAGUAGUCUAUAAUUCGGCACUACCAACAAAUUGAUAACUAUAAAAUGGCUCACACAAGUCGCACAUAUACGUGCUUAAAUCUUAAUAAAAUCAUAUUUUAAGAUAAAAUUAAAUUUUAUUUCACAAUGGACCAAAUUAUGUAAUUUGCCCAAUUUGUAACUAGUGUUUCUUGCAGAAAUUUAUAAUAUUUUUUAAAAUUCAGAUACAUAACCCACGGAUGCGAUUGCAUUUGAAUUGUCCAAAAUAGUUUAUUUACCUAAAACAAUUCAGAAAUGUUUUUCAGUUGCCCAUUUGUGUAUACCAAAAGUAAAUAAAUUAUGCACAUUCCAAAGUAAAGAUUCCAAUCACAAAAACUGAUCUUUAACCAUAUUAUAAAACUAUUUUGUGCAGCAUAUUACAAAACUGAUCUUAAGUUCUUUACCAUAUAAUAAAACUAUUAUUUAUAUAGUUCAAAAAUAAUAUAGCUUGUACAUGCCAUGAAGAAUAAGUGAUACUUCUCCAUCCCAAAUAUAAGAUGCAACCACUUUUUUCCGAUAUUUCAUUAUAUAAGACACGUAUGCAUACAUACAAUUAACUAGCACCUCCCCCACGUCCCCCUUUAGUUUGUUUUCUAAAUCCUCCACUCAAGAUUUUUUUUAGUUCAUCUACUAAUUUUUAAAAUUCAAAAUCUUUAAAUCACAAUGUCAUAUCAUCUAAAACCGCUUAGUUUAUUUACUGGUACGCAUGAAAGAAAAAACUAUGAGGGUCAUAUCCCUUGAUCUUUCCUAUCAUCCAAAUCCAUUGAUUUGUAGUGGUACACAAACAUAAGAGUAUCUCUAGGAUUUUAUUCUUAUUUUGUAGAGUGGUACACGAAAGAAUGAGGAGCUAAGCAAAAUCCAGCUCAAGCCUUUAUGUUAGCAUAUCGUUUUUCUGGCCUCUGCUGGCAAGCAAGAAUAGCGUUCAAAGUAUACUGUUCGCAUGGACGUCCGGCAAUGAGGGCGCUGGCUGGCUCACUGGCCAAAGUGAAGUGAUGGAUAUUGAUCAUGUGAUAUAUAUUCGUAUUCUAAUUCUUUCAUCUUUCUGUACAUUAAAUUUUUAGAGGUACUGUUUCUUGAUAAAAAUAAAAAAAAAUAAGGACCAUUGAAAAAUCAUAAAAUUUUAAAAAUAUCAUUAACUGUACGUAUGUGUCAUUAAUAUUGACCGGUAGACGGUAGACCUAUUGAGCCCUACAUGCCGUUCUCACAUAUAUAUACAAUUUACGUUAGUUUUCUCAUCUAAAAAAUUACAUUAGUUUUCUAUUUUUUUCAAUAUAAGUACCAUAUAUAUUUCCACUAUAUUGGAGUAGCUCACUAAUCGAGCACACGUUUAAAUGCUAAUGGGUGAAAGUGAAACUACUCCUCCUCGCUAGCCCAUUUGCAAGAUCCGAAAUGUAACAACAUAAUUUGUUACAUGCUGACUUUGAAGUUUCUAAAUCUAAUUUUCAAAAAUAUUUUAUGUAGAUAUUUUACUUGUCUCUGGAGAAAGCCACAUUCCUAACAUGCUGUUCCAAUCGGCGCUUUCCUGACGGUGGCCGUGACGGUAAAGUAGUCCUGACGGUUUUGUUUUAAUCCUAACUGUUUUUGAACCGCUAGGGAAAAAACCCUUUUUUUAAGUAGUGUCCUUGCUCCUUAGGAGUAAUGCAGAGGGGCAAGAAAGUAACAAAAAAUACCCUCUAAAUUUAAUUAGAAUCAAAUCCUAAAAUUUAAUCAGCUUCAGCUCAACCAACCACUAUACAUUGUGCAUGUUUUCAUUGAUUAUUAUUCAUAUGAUAAGAUGUGCAUCCGUGUCUUUUUUUUCUCUAGUUUUGACAAAGGCAUGUCUCAGUAGUCGGUACUCGAUUCCCAAGUCCCAACGAGGGUUUACCAAACCGCGCAGUUACCACGCGGUUACCAUGGUUACCACGCACGGUUAUCUUUUUAGUUUUUGAAACUACGGUAUGUCUCACGGUAACCGCCUUUACCGCGGGGUGCGGUAACCGCGCAAAAAAGGAAAAAUGGUAAGGGGAACCCCAACUAUUGGUCUGGUGGAUCG